This 538-nucleotide ribosomal RNA is filed under the name Alternaria sp. WSN10. Its description in RNAcentral is "eukaryotic LSU rRNA". The stretch from base 211 to 364 matches the Rfam family "5.8S ribosomal RNA". Lineage: Eukaryota; Fungi; Ascomycota; Dothideomycetes; Pleosporales; Pleosporaceae. The record is from RNAcentral.
AAAUCUAACAAGGUCUCCGUAGGUGAACCUGCGGAGGGAUCAUUACACAAAUAUGAAGGCGGGCUGGAACCUCUCGGGGUUACAGCCUUGCUGAAUUAUUCACCCUUGUCUUUUGCGUACUUCUUGUUUCCUUGGUGGGUUCGCCCACCACUAGGACAAACAUAAACCUUUUGUAAUUGCAAUCAGCGUCAGUAACAAAUUAAUAAUUACAACUUUCAACAACGGAUCUCUUGGUUCUGGCAUCGAUGAAGAACGCAGCGAAAUGCGAUAAGUAGUGUGAAUUGCAGAAUUCAGUGAAUCAUCGAAUCUUUGAACGCACAUUGCGCCCUUUGGUAUUCCAAAGGGCAUGCCUGUUCGAGCGUCAUUUGUACCCUCAAGCUUUGCUUGGUGUUGGGCGUCUUGUCUCUAGCUUUGCUGGAGACUCGCCUUAAAGUAAUUGGCAGCCGGCCUACUGGUUUCGGAGCGCAGCACAAGUCGCACUCUCUAUCAGCAAAGGUCUAGCAUCCAUUAAGCCUUUUUUCAACUUUGACCUCGAUCA